RNAcentral lists this long non-coding RNA (243 nucleotides) under Mustela putorius furo (domestic ferret). RNAcentral's name for it is "lncRNA (ENSMPUG00000027260.1)". Lineage: Eukaryota; Metazoa; Chordata; Mammalia; Carnivora; Mustelidae. The record is from RNAcentral.
UAUUAUCAUUUUUUCUGCUUUUCUUACCCUUCUGUGGGUAGGUGAAGGACCUAUGAAUAGAAAAUUAUCUUGUGGAAAAUCCAGCACUGUUUUGUCAACACUAACAAUCUCAGUACUGUGGAACCACGUGAAAUGGGUAGAACCUUGCAUGAUAAAGCACUGAACACCUCCUUACACAACUCAGUCCAGAAGACUGCUAGACGUUCUUCGAGAUCAGCUCAAACAUUUCCCUCUCAGUGAAGC